This 468-nucleotide ribosomal RNA is filed under the name uncultured bacterium. RNAcentral describes it as "partial 16S ribosomal RNA". It matches the Rfam family "Bacterial small subunit ribosomal RNA", at positions 28 to 507 of the family's 1533-position model. The record is from RNAcentral.
GACGAACGCUGGCGGCGUGCUUAACACAUGCAAGUCGAACGGAAAGGCCCUGCUUUUGUGGGGUGCUCGAGUGGCGAACGGGUGAGUAACACGUGAGUAACCUGCCCUUGACUUUGGGAUAACUUCAGGAAACUGGGGCUAAUACCGGAUAGGAGCUCCUGCUGCAUGGUGGGGGUUGGAAAGUUUCGGCGGUUGGGGAUGGACUCGCGGCUUAUCAGCUUGUUGGUGGGGUAGUGGCUUACCAAGGCUUUGACGGGUAGCCGGCCUGAGAGGGUGACCGGCCACAUUGGGACUGAGAUACGGCCCAGACUCCUACGGGAGGCAGCAGUGGGGAAUAUUGCACUAUGGGCGGAAGCCUGAUGCAGCAACGCCGCGUGCGGGAUGACGGCCUUCGGGUUGUAAACCGCUUUCGCCUGUGACGAAGCGUGAGUGACGGUAAUGGGUAAAGAAGCACCGGCUAACUCCGUG